This is a long non-coding RNA of Monopterus albus (swamp eel), 352 nucleotides long. RefSeq lists it as uncharacterized. Lineage: Eukaryota; Metazoa; Chordata; Actinopteri; Synbranchiformes; Synbranchidae. The transcript is spliced from 3 exons. The record is from RefSeq and is a predicted model, not a curated record.
UUCAUGUAGCCAUUAUAUGACUUGUAUUUUUCAGCAAUGGAUGGAGUGCCAUUCAUGAUCUCUGAGAAGUUUGCCUGUGCCUCGUCUGAUCUGCAGCAAGUGGAUCUGAUGGGCAUCACAAUCAAGUCACUGGCUGAAAUUGAGAAAGAGUAUGAUUACAGUUUCCGCACAGAACACAGUGCAGCAGCUCGCCUCCCUCCCAGUCCCACACGGACCUCCCUGAGCUCCGAGGCUUGAAGACCUGCACCUCACCCCACCCUUCAACACUCUCCUCUGUAGAUACCAGAAGGAGAGACCUGUACACAACUACUGACCUGCCCACAACACAAAGUGAUGGCACAACACUCCAAAA